RNAcentral lists this ribosomal RNA (457 nucleotides) under uncultured Sphingobacteriales bacterium. RNAcentral's name for it is "bacterial SSU rRNA". It matches the Rfam family "Bacterial small subunit ribosomal RNA", at positions 925 to 1382 of the family's 1533-position model. The record is from RNAcentral. Lineage: Bacteria; Pseudomonadati; Bacteroidota; Sphingobacteriia; Sphingobacteriales.
ACAAGCGGAGGAGCAUGUGGUUUAAUUCGAUGAUACGCGAGGAACCCUACCUGGGCUCGAACGUAAGAUGACUGUAGGUGAAAGCUUACAUCUCUUCGGAGCAUUUUACGAGGUGCUGCGAUGGUUGUCGUCAGCUCGUGCCGUGAGGUGUCGGGUUAAGUCCCAUAACGAGCGCAACCCCUACCUUUAGUUGCCAUCAGGUUAAGCUGGGGACUCUAAAGGAACUGCCUACGCAAGUAGUGAGGAAGCGGGGAUGACGUCAAAUCAGCACGGCCCUUACGUCCAGGGCUACACACGUGCUACAAUGGCCGAUACAGAGGGCAGCUACCUGGUGACAGGAUGCAAAUCUCCAAAGUCGGUCUCAGUUCGGAUCGGAGUCUGCAACCCGACUCCGUGAAGUUGGAUUCGCUAGUAAUCGCGCAUCAGCCAUGGCGCGGUGAAUACGUUCCCGGGCCUU